UUGCACGCUAAAAUUCUCUUGGUAGCUUCCUUCCACGUGCUUCCAAGUGAAUGCCAUGAGUGAACGCUAGAGAAACGGUGAGGGAACCCAAAGGGCUGUGCUUCUCCUAUGGCUCCUUCCUAUUUCACACUUGCGACAUACU
Small nucleolar RNA from Jaculus jaculus (lesser Egyptian jerboa), 142 nucleotides. The record is from Ensembl. Lineage: Eukaryota; Metazoa; Chordata; Mammalia; Rodentia; Dipodidae.